This 797-nucleotide ribosomal RNA is filed under the name Salmonella enterica subsp. enterica serovar Virchow. RNAcentral's name for it is "partial 23S ribosomal RNA". It matches the Rfam family "Bacterial large subunit ribosomal RNA", at positions 683 to 1482 of the family's 2925-position model. The record is from RNAcentral. Lineage: Bacteria; Pseudomonadati; Pseudomonadota; Gammaproteobacteria; Enterobacterales; Enterobacteriaceae.
CUUAAUUGGGCGUUAAGUUGCAGGGUAUAGACCCGAAACCCGGUGAUCUAGCCAUGGGCAGGUUGAAGGUUGGGUAACACUAACUGGAGGACCGAACCGACUAAUGUUGAAAAAUUAGCGGAUGACCUGUGGCUGGGGGUGAAAGGCCAAUCAAACCGGGAGAUAGCUGGUUCUCCCCGAAAGCUAUUUAGGUAGCGCCUCGUGAAUUCAUCUCCGGGGGUAGAGCACUGUUUCGGCUAGGGGGCCAUCCCGGCUUACCAACCCGAUGCAAACUGCGAAUACCGGAGAAUGUUAUCACGGGAGACACACGGCGGGUGCUAACGUCCGUCGUGAAGAGGGAAACAACCCAGACCGCCAGCUAAGGUCCCAAAGUCAUGGUUAAGUGGGAAACGAUGUGGGAAGGCCCAGACAGCCAGGAUGUUGGCUUAGAAGCAGCCAUCAUUUAAAGAAAGCGUAAUAGCUCACUGGUCGAGUCGGCCUGCGCGGAAGAUGUAACGGGGCUAAACCAUGCACCGAAGCUGCGGCAGCGACACUGUGUGUUGUUGGGUAGGGGAGCGUUCUGUAAGCCUGUGAAGGUGGCCUGUGAGGGUUGCUGGAGGUAUCAGAAGUGCGAAUGCUGACAUAAGUAACGAUAAAGCGGGUGAAAAGCCCGCUCGCCGGAAGACCAAGGGUUCCUGUCCAACGUUAAUCGGGGCAGGGUGAGUCGACCCCUAAGGCGAGGCCGAAAGGCGUAGUCGAUGGGAAACGGGUUAAUAUUCCCGUACUUGGUGUUACUGCGAAGGGGGGACGGAGAAGGC